Molecule: long non-coding RNA, 876 nt
Organism: Populus nigra (black poplar)
Lineage: Eukaryota; Viridiplantae; Streptophyta; Magnoliopsida; Malpighiales; Salicaceae
Exons: 2
Source: RefSeq, a predicted model, not a curated record
CCCUUUUCAAUCAAAAGCAGACCUCCACAUUGAAAAUGCGAGAGUGAAAAGGAAUCACUUUCGACUACCCUUCAGUCCCUCUCAAUGCUUUUUACUUUUAAGAAAGUCCAGUAAGGAAAAGGGAGGAAAGAAGUGAGAAAUAAGUGAAUCUUUUGUUUGGUUUUGUAAAGCAAACAUAACAAAGCUAUUUCCUUUGUACAAAACCCUUCCGUUUCUUUGAGUCUAAGUUUUGUCAAGGAUGAAAAUGGAAGCUGAAACUGAAGCUAGCAGCUCAGUUCCUGCAGAUUCCAAGUCUGGAGGAUAUUCUGAAGUAGACGAAAGAAGGAAAAUUCUGUCCGAAGGAGAGGAGAGAUGCCGGGUAAAAGAGAUUUGAAGCCGGAGAAGAAAGAAAAGAAGAAGCUAAGAAGAGGAAGCCAAAGAAAGAUAAGAGGAAGCUGAAGAAGAGAAGAAUGGGGCUUGUAAAAGUUUGCGACUCUUAAAUUUUAUUCAAUUCAACAAAACUUAUUAACAUUUAGAAAAAAAGAGUAACAUACAAAUCCUAAGAUUCUAACUAGAAUAAGGAUUAUAACCCCCUAAUAAAAUAUCCAACAAUAAUUAAAUUAAACCCACUAAACAAACCUAAAUAAAAUCCAAUAAACAAGGGUUGAGCUCUCCCUUGUCAUCAUAGAUCAUACAAACAUGUUAAACAUGUCUCGGCCUAAUAUCCUCACCAACUCUCCUGGGGUUGGAAAAACUUGACCCCGUCAAGUAUAAAUCAAAACUGCUCUAAUAAUGCUUCCAAAAUAAGGAUCAAGCUAUUAUGAUGUCUCUUUGGUAAUUCAUGUAUGGUAUGAUUCUGGUCGUCUAACUUAUAUACUAAGAUUCAUUAAAGUUUAA